Cyprinodon tularosa is the source of this 805-nucleotide long non-coding RNA. RefSeq lists it as uncharacterized. Lineage: Eukaryota; Metazoa; Chordata; Actinopteri; Cyprinodontiformes; Cyprinodontidae. The transcript has 3 exons. The record is from RefSeq and is a predicted model, not a curated record.
ACUACCUCGACGCCAGAGUGUUUGCCAGUUUUGGGAAGUCAUCCUGCAAACUCGAUGUUUCGGACCUUCUCUCCCCUGGAAGAAUCUUCUGAGAACCAAACUGAGCUGAGGAUUCAAGUUUGUGGUUUGGAUCAUCAUUUUCCCCCAAGGAUUGUCUGGGGCUUCUCUCUGAGCAGGGGAUUAAUUUCCACAAUAACCUGUUCAAGUACCGCAGGAAAUCUAAGUGGCAGUCAGCUUCUCCGUUCACCAAGGAACAACCGCAAUCUGGGUACACCCUGUCUGCCCUCCAUCGAACAAGACAAUCACUGGAACAUCUCACACCGACUGGAUUCAAUAAGAGACACCUUUUUCUGGAAACUUCUGGUUCGACAGUGUUCAGAGCAGCACUGGACUCAUCUCAUCAUUCUAAAUAAACCUGUUAAACUCUUCCCUGGUCUCUCUGUUUGGUCUUCUGCAUGUGGGUCAGAGCACUAGAUAAAAUCAUGACAGUUCAGAGUCUUUGACCCUUCUAAGUUCAUCAGCAAGAAUAUGGUGGAAGUUAGGAAAUAUAUCAGAGGAAUAUCACUUUAUGUUUCAACAUGCGCUUCUUGGAAAAAUUGAUGUGACCAAUGAUUUACUGACUUUUACACUUUGGUGCAGCUUUUUCAAUCAAGUGUGUCUGAUGCUCUCUGAAAGUCAGAGCUGACAGAGCAGCAGCUGUUAGCCCCUCUAAUCAGAAUGACAUGUGGACCAACCUUUCAUUUAUGCAACUUGGAUCACUUUAGCUUUACUUACAAAUAUUUCUGUGAGGAUGGGGAUGUGGGAG